CCCCUAGAUGUUCUGGGCCGCACGCGCGCUACACUGAUUCAUGCAACAAGUUUUGUCCUUGGCUGAUAGGCCUGGGUAAUCUUUGAACGUGAAUCGUGAUGGGGAUAGAUGAUUGCAAUUAUUCAUCUUCAACGAGGAAUUCCUAGUAAACGCAAGUCAUCAGCUUGCAUUGAUUACGUCCCUGCCCUUUGUACACACCGCCCGUCGCACCUACCGAUUGAAUGGUCCGGUGAAAUCUUCGGAUCUGAGAGAUGUCUGAUUAAUUUCGGACGCCUUUUGGAAAAGUUGUUUAAACCUUACCAUUUAGAGGAAGGUGAAGUCGUAACA
Molecule: ribosomal RNA, 327 nt
Filed under: uncultured eukaryote
Lineage: Eukaryota
Description: partial 18S ribosomal RNA
Rfam family: Eukaryotic small subunit ribosomal RNA
Source: RNAcentral